This 292-nucleotide ribosomal RNA is filed under the name uncultured bacterium. RNAcentral's name for it is "partial 16S ribosomal RNA". The record is from RNAcentral.
GGACUACAAGGGUUUCUAAUCCUGUUUGCUCCCCACGCUCUCGCGCCUCAGCGUCAGUAUCUGUCCAGGUAGCCGCCUUCGCCACUGGUGUUCCUUCCGAUCUCUACGCAUUUCACCGCUACACCGGAAAUUCCACUACCCUCUACAGUACUCCAGUCAGACAGUUUGAAAUGCAGUUCCCGGGUUAAGCCCGGGGAUUUCACAUCUCACUUGUCUCACCGCCUACGCGCCCUUUACGCCCAGUAACUCCGAUUAACGCUUGCACCCUCUGUAUUACCGCGGCUGCUGGCAC